GCCCGCCUAGCUCAAUCGGAUAGAGCGUCAGACUUUUAAGACGCUGAUCUUGAUCUGAAGGCUGCGAGUUCGACCCUCGCGGUGGGCU
Molecule: transfer RNA, 88 nt
Filed under: Lentinula boryana
Lineage: Eukaryota; Fungi; Basidiomycota; Agaricomycetes; Agaricales; Omphalotaceae
Also listed under: 1 other name
Description: tRNA-Lys
Rfam family: tRNA
About the family: Transfer RNA (tRNA) molecules are approximately 80 nucleotides in length. Their secondary structure includes four short double-helical elements and three loops (D, anti-codon, and T loops).
Source: RNAcentral